GCGGCGAAAGGGUGAGUAAUGGUUCGUUAACGUACCUCUUGGACCCGGAUAAUUCACCGAAAGGUGUUGUAAUACGGGAUGGGACGACGUUUACUUUGGUAAGUGUCGUGAAAGCUCGGGGAUCCUUCGGGACCCGUGGCCGAGAGAGCGGACGAGCCCCGAUUAGCUUGAUGGUGGGGUAAUGGCCCACCAUGGCUGUGAUCGGUAGCCGGCCUGAGAGGGUGUACGGCCACACUGGGACUGAGACACUGCCCAGACUCCUACGGGAGGCUGCAGUCGCGAAUCUUCCACAAUGGACGCAAGUCUGAUGGAGCCACGCCGCGUGUAGGAGGAAGGCCCUUGGGUUGUAAACUACUGUUGAGAAGGGGGAACCGCCGUAGGUUAAUGGCCUGCGGUCUGACUGCCUUCUUGAGGAAGCUCCGGCUAAACACGUGCCAGCAGCCGCGGUAAUACGUGUGGAGCAAGCGUUGUUCGGAAUUACUGGGCUUAAAGGGUGCGUAGGCGGCCCGCUAAGUCAGCUGUGAAAUCCCACGGCCCAACCGUGGACUUGCAGUUGAUACUGGUGGGCUUGAGUGUGCUAGGGGUAAGCGGAACGAGUGGUGUAGCGGUGAAAUGCGUAGAUAUCACUCGGAAGGCCAGAGCCGAAGGGGGCUUACUGGGGCACAACUGACGCUGAGGCACGAAAGCGUGGGGAGCAAACAGGAUUAGAUACCCUGGUAGUCCACGCUGUAAACGAUGAGCACUAGAUGGG
RNAcentral lists this ribosomal RNA (751 nucleotides) under uncultured bacterium. RNAcentral describes it as "bacterial SSU rRNA". It matches the Rfam family "Bacterial small subunit ribosomal RNA", at positions 95 to 824 of the family's 1533-position model. The record is from RNAcentral.